This 460-nucleotide ribosomal RNA is filed under the name uncultured bacterium. Its description in RNAcentral is "partial 16S ribosomal RNA". It matches the Rfam family "Bacterial small subunit ribosomal RNA", at positions 338 to 795 of the family's 1533-position model. The record is from RNAcentral.
CCUACGGGUGGCAGCAGUGAGGAAUAUUGGUCAAUGGACGCAAGUCUGAACCAGCCAUGCCGCGUGCAGGAAGACGGCUCUAUGAGUUGUAAACUGCUUUUGUACGAGGGUAAACGCAGAUACGCGUAUCUGUCUGAAAGUAUCGUACGAAUAAGGAUCGGCUAACUCCGUGCCAGCAGCCGCGGUAAUACGGAGGAUUCAAGCGUUAUCCGGAUUUAUUGGGUUUAAAGGGUGCGUAGGCGGUCGGAUAAGUUAGAGGUGAAAUCCCGAGGCUCAACUUCGGAAUUGCCUCUGAUACUGUGCGGCUAGAGAGUAGUUGCGGUAGGCGGAAUGUAUGGUGUAGCGGUGAAAUGCUUAGAGAUCAUACAGAACACCGAUUGCGAAGGCAGCUUACCGGCGCUCAACUGACGCUCAUGCACGAAAGUGUGGGUAUCGAACAGGAUUAGAUACCCGAGUAGUC